RNAcentral lists this long non-coding RNA (1675 nucleotides) under Papio anubis (olive baboon). RNAcentral describes it as "lncRNA (ENSPANG00000045018.1)". The record is from RNAcentral. Lineage: Eukaryota; Metazoa; Chordata; Mammalia; Primates; Cercopithecidae.
GGGGGAAGUUCAUUUUGUUUUGUGGUUUCCUCAAAGGCUCAAGACAUAGUUAUGAUUCUCUAUGACUUUCCCAUUGGUUUCUUUUUAAACUGUUUCCAUUCGAAUCAAAUGCCCAGUGAGCAGCCGCUGUGCCCGGGAGGAGCCGCAAAGGGGAGUGAGUUUCCAACCACAGGGGAAGGACAAAUAACAGGGAAAGGUAAAGGCUGGAAGAAUUUGAAUAGGGUGUGAAUUCGACAACAUAAAACAAAACGUCAUGGCCCUGCAGAAGAGAGAACAGUUAGGAGGAGCUGCAAACCGCUGACACAAGUGGGCGUCUCUGACAAGGAGAGUUCUGAAAGGCGUAGGUGGCGCUGCGGCUGGAGGAGAAAUAGGAGCCCAGAAGUCCGAGCUUGUUUGAGGAACAAAACACCCGAGGAGAAGCUGCAGAAUGCUUAGUCUUGAGAUUUCUCUGGCUGUGUAAGUGAAGUCCUCUGCGUUCUCAUUUAUUUCACCUUUUUUUUUUUUUUUUUUUGAGUGGAUUUCUGGUUGUGAUACUGAACUGUGGAUAUUUGACCUAAAUAAAGUGCCAAUUUGGAAAAGAAACAUGAGGAAAAGGGAGAAAUGACAGUCACAAAUGAGAGUGUGCAAGUGCAGUGCUCGGGCAAGCAGUUCAGUCUCUGCUUUAACUGAACUGUUACGGAAAGAGACGCCCUUUCACGACUUUCCAGUGCAUUAUUUUAAACCACAUAUAUUAUUAAUAUAUGGUCAGUCAUGGAUUCUUCAAGAAAAUGUUUUGAAACUCUAACAUCUUAAACUUUGGCUUAUAUUGUUGUGAAGGUAUUUAUUCUUUCUUAUUUUUCUUGAAAGCUUAGAGUUACUAAUUGUUUUGUCAUCAAAUUUUCUGAUUAUAAAUAUCAAGGAGUCCCACCGUACACUACAGUUUCGUGGCAUGGAUUGUAUUUUCCUUGUAAUUCGAAGCUUGUAAAUCACAAGGGCGUCAAAGGCCAUGAGCUCUAUGAACACCUUCGGACGACCACCAGAUUUGGUUGCUACCAUUGCUUUCAAAAUAAAAGAUUCAAAACCAACCGAAAAGAGACCUGGUUCGCCCACAAACGAUUAAGGAACACUUCUACCUACAGCCCGCUGCCGAUCCACAGGCACUAUGAAAGCUUUUCUGCUGGAAUACUUUCGCCUGUCUGUUGCAGAAGAAACCAUCACUGCUUAAUAGGAAAGUAGUACUUCUGUUAUGGUUGAGUUUAAAAUGUGCUUUUUAGAGGCAUCAUCUCUCAGAGACCAACUCAUGCAUGUGUUCAGAGAGGGUCUUAAUUGGUGCAUGAUUUACUACAUGAAGCAAAACUUUGCUUGGACAGGCUGAAAGACUAUGGUGAGGAAGAGCCCUUUAUACAGUUUUAUAGGCCUGUCUUCUCACUGGGAACAUAUAUUUACUAAUUGUAUAAUUGGUGGCACAGUUCUUCCAUCAUAAACAUUGUUAUCAGUUAAUUAAACUUGAAAUGCAGCUUUGUUCCACAACAUGUUUUGUCAGAUUGUUUUCCUUAUUUAUUUAUCAUCAUAAAAUUUUACUUGGUGACUGGCAGCUUCUCAGCCCUCCAAUAAUAAUAUAAAUCAAAACAUAAGAUUUUAGUCUUCAUGCAAUUUCCUUUUGGUCUGAAAAUAUGAAACCAGAUGUUUUUGGCAU